Molecule: ribosomal RNA, 301 nt
Filed under: uncultured bacterium
Lineage: Bacteria
Description: partial 16S ribosomal RNA
Rfam family: Bacterial small subunit ribosomal RNA
Source: RNAcentral
CAGCCGCCGCGGGAAUACGUAGGCCCCGAGCGUUGUCCGGAUUUAUUGGGCGUAAAGCGAGCGCAGGCGGUUAGAUAAGUCUGAAGUUAAAGGCUGUGGCUUAACCAUAGUACGCUUUGGAAACUGUUUAACUUGAGUGCAAGAGGGGAGAGUGGAAUUCCAUGUGUAGCGGUGAAAUGCGUAGAUAUAUGGAGGAACACCGGUGGCGAAAGCGGCUCUCUGGCUUGUAACUGACGCUGAGGCUCGAAAGCGUGGGGAGCAAACAGGAUUAGAUACCCGAGUAGUCCCUGUCUCUUAUACA